This 212-nucleotide ribosomal RNA is filed under the name Pycnococcus provasolii. Its description in RNAcentral is "partial Bacterial small subunit ribosomal RNA". It matches the Rfam family "Bacterial small subunit ribosomal RNA", at positions 136 to 351 of the family's 1533-position model. The record is from RNAcentral. Lineage: Eukaryota; Viridiplantae; Chlorophyta; Pseudoscourfieldiophyceae; Pseudoscourfieldiales; Pycnococcaceae.
GUGGGGGAUAACCCGGGGAAACCCGGAUUAAUACCGCAUGAUCUCGCAAGAGCAAAGUGGGGGAUCGCAAGACCUCACGCUUUUAGAGGAACCUACGUCGGAUUAGCUUGUUGGUGAGGUAAUGGCUCACCAAGGCGACGAUCCGUAACUGGUCUGAGAGGAUGAUCAGUCACACUGGAACUGAGACACGGUCCAGAUCCUACGGGAGGCAG